GAUGAACGCUGGCGGCGUGCCUAGUACAUGCAAGUCGAGCGAACAGACGAGGAGCUUGCUCCUCUGACGUUAGCGGCGGACGGGUGAGUAACACGUGGAUAACCUACCUAUAAGACUGGGAUAACUUCGGGAAACCGGAGCUAAUACCGGAUAAUAUAUUGAACCGCAUGGUUCAAUAGUGAAAGACGGUUUUGCUGUCACUUAUAGAUGGAUCCGCGCCGCAUUAGCUAGUUGGUAAGGUAACGGCUUACCAAGGCAACGAUGCGUAGCCGACCUGAGAGGGUGAUCGGCCACACUGGAACUGAGACACGGUCCAGACUCCUACGGGAGGCAGCAGUAGGGAAUCUUCCGCAAUGGGCGAAAGCCUGACGGAGCAACGCCGCGUAAGUGAUGAAGGUCUUCGGAUCGUAAAACUCUGUUAUUAGGGAAGAACAAAUGUGUAAGUAACUAUGCACGUCUUGACGGUACCUAAUCAGAAAGCCACGGCUAACUACGUG
Molecule: ribosomal RNA, 497 nt
Filed under: uncultured bacterium
Lineage: Bacteria
Description: partial 16S ribosomal RNA
Rfam family: Bacterial small subunit ribosomal RNA
Source: RNAcentral